This 440-nucleotide ribosomal RNA is filed under the name uncultured bacterium. RNAcentral's name for it is "partial 16S ribosomal RNA". It matches the Rfam family "Bacterial small subunit ribosomal RNA", at positions 28 to 507 of the family's 1533-position model. The record is from RNAcentral.
GACGAACGCUGGCGGCGUGCCUAAUGCAUGCAAGUCGCACGCGGCACCUUCGGGUGCUGCGUGGCGAACGGCUGAGGAACACGUGGGGACCUGUCCGGGAGUGGGGGACAACACCGCGAAAGCGGUGCUAAUCCCGCAUACGCUCUGAGGAGGAAAGCCGAAAGGCGCUCCCGGGUGGCCCUGCGGCCCAUCAGGUUGUUGGUGGGGUAACGGCCUACCAAGCCAAUGACGGGUCGCUGGUCUGUGAGGACGACCAGCCAGACUGGGCCUGGGACACGGCCCAGACUCAUACGGGAGGCAGCAGCAAGGAAUUUUCGGCAAUGGGCGCAAGACUGACCGAGCAACGCAGCGUGCAGGAAGACGGCCUUCGGGUUGUAAACUGCUUCUGCUAGGGAGGAUAACAGACAGUACCUGGCGAAUCAGCCCGGGCUAACUCUGUG